UGGGGAAUAUUGGACAAUGGGCGAAAGCCUGAUCCAGCCAUGCCGCGUGUGUGAAGAAGGUCUUCGGAUUGUAAAGCACUUUAAGUUGGGAGGAAGGGCAGUAAGCGAAUACCUUGCUGUUUUGACGUUACCGACAGAAUAAGCACCGGCUAACUCUGUGCCAGCAGCCGCGGUAAUACAGAGGGUGCAAGCGUUAAUCGGAAUUACUGGGCGUAAAGCGCGCGUAGGUGGUUCGUUAAGUUGAAUGUGAAAGCCCCGGGCUCAACCUGGGAACUGCAUCCAAAACUGGCGAGCUAGAGUAGGGCAGAGGGUGGUGGAAUUUCCUGUGUAGCGGUGAAAUGCGUAGAUAUAGGAAGGAACACCAGUGGCGAAGGCGACUACCUGGGCUCAUACUGACACUGAGGUGCGAAAGCGUGGGGAGCAAACAGG
Molecule: ribosomal RNA, 429 nt
Filed under: Pseudomonadota bacterium
Lineage: Bacteria; Pseudomonadati; Pseudomonadota
Description: Proteobacteria bacterium partial 16S ribosomal RNA
Rfam family: Bacterial small subunit ribosomal RNA
Source: RNAcentral